RNAcentral lists this transfer RNA (68 nucleotides) under Teratoscincus keyserlingii (Persian wonder Gecko). RNAcentral describes it as "tRNA-Ala". It matches the Rfam family "tRNA". From Rfam's summary of the family: Transfer RNA (tRNA) molecules are approximately 80 nucleotides in length. Their secondary structure includes four short double-helical elements and three loops (D, anti-codon, and T loops). Lineage: Eukaryota; Metazoa; Chordata; Lepidosauria; Squamata; Sphaerodactylidae. The record is from RNAcentral.
GAGGUUUUAGCUUAAUUAAAGUGUUUGAGUUGCAUUCAGAAGAUGUAUUUUAGAGUAAUACAGGCCUU